CCUACGGGAGGCUGCAGUGAGGAAUAUUGGUCAAUGGACGAGAGUCUGAACCAGCCAAGUAGCGUGAAGGAUGACUGCCCUAUGGGUUGUAAACUUCUUUUAUAUGGGAAUAAAAUGUUCCACGUGUGGGAUUUUGUAUGUACCAUAUGAAUAAGGAUCGGCUAACUCCGUGCCAGCAGCCGCGGUAAUACGGAGGAUCCGAGCGUUAUCCGGAUUUAUUGGGUUUAAAGGGAGCGUAGGUGGAUUGUUAAGUCAGUUGUGAAAGUUUGCGGCUCAACCGUAAAAUUGCAGUUGAAACUGGCAGUCUUGAGUACAGUAGAGGUGGGCGGAAUUCGUGGUGUAGCGGUGAAAUGCUUAGAUAUCACGAAGAACUCCGAUUGCGAAGGCAGUUCACUGGACUGCAACUGACACUGAGGCUCGAUAGUGUGGGUAUCAAACAGGAUUAGAUACCCUAGUAGUC
RNAcentral lists this ribosomal RNA (460 nucleotides) under uncultured bacterium. RNAcentral's name for it is "partial 16S ribosomal RNA". It matches the Rfam family "Bacterial small subunit ribosomal RNA", at positions 338 to 795 of the family's 1533-position model. The record is from RNAcentral.